UGCGUGAGCUAGUCCCUUUAUAUGGUCUUUUGGGAAUUGUAGUUUCCGCCCCCCCCUUCUUCCGUUUCAUUUCCCGUCUACAGCCCCACGGUCAGAGGCUUUUGCCUGAAAGAAAAGAGAUCCAGUGCCGCCCCAUCUCCUCACUGUCCUGAAGCUCUUCAGGGGCCCGUCUGUAUCAGACUCACCUCCGACUCAGUUUCCCGCUGGAGCCAGUAGGCAAUCCUCAGGAGAACACUGCCCUCUCCCAGGCGUACCUUCACCCAGGACUCAAGGCGAAGGAAGGCUGAAGACGAGGUGUCGUUCUGUGCCUCAGCUUGUCGAAGGCAAGCAGCAGCGGCGCGGCCCGGCUCUCCAAACUCGAGCUUGUCCCUUCCCCCACCCCCUCGUCUCAGGGCUCCUUCCCUCCCUCCCCCAUCCGUCUGCAAACUCAGCGCCCACGAAAUUAGGAGGGAAAAGGAAGAUCGAUGACUCCAGAUGCCGCAAACACCGUUUCCCCUCCCCCCCCACCUGCCUCCUCCCGCCAGCUCCGCGGAGCUUAGCAGGUUGUCAGCGCUCUGCCUACGCUGUCCCUGCACCUCCAUCCCAUUCAAAGCCUUAUACCUCCUCCCCCAAGUAGUCCCAAAUAGUCCGCUGGUGGUCCCCUUUCAGGUCUAAUCCCCAUUCUAUUUGCAGCAGCUUCACAUCGCCCACACCUGGGAGGAAAAUCCUCACCCCAGGCAGGGCUCUUAUCCCAAGGGUCUCCUCCACGUGUAUCUGAUGUGGUCUUGGAUGACCUCCAAGGUGCUAGCUCUGUCAAUAUUUGCCUCGGUUUCCCCAGGAGCCGCGGUGGGAGGAGGCCCUGGCCAGACAUAAAUCCACACCACCACCCCACUUCCCUACAAAGGUCUCACACAGACGCCUAUUGGAUUUCACUUUAUUUUGUUCCCUUUCCCGUCUGUUUUGGCGUUAAGUAAAUAAAUAAAAUCACUGAGAGGAAGCAGCCGGAAAGGUGGAGCAAGACGGCAGGGACAGGAGGGAGGCGGGCAGAGGGCAGGGGCCCGAGUCAAUCGCCUUCGCCCAGGAGUUCUG
Vicugna pacos (alpaca) is the source of this 1068-nucleotide non-coding RNA. The record is from RefSeq and is a predicted model, not a curated record. NCBI's taxonomy places the organism in Eukaryota, Metazoa, Chordata, Mammalia, Artiodactyla, Camelidae.